RNAcentral lists this ribosomal RNA (253 nucleotides) under uncultured bacterium. RNAcentral describes it as "partial 16S ribosomal RNA". It matches the Rfam family "Bacterial small subunit ribosomal RNA", at positions 524 to 776 of the family's 1533-position model. The record is from RNAcentral.
UACAGAGGGUGCGAGCGUUAAUCGGAAUUACUGGGCGUAAAGCGUGCGUAGACGGUUAUGUAAGUCAGGUGUGAAAGCCCCGGGCUCAACCUGGGAAUUGCAUUUGAGACUACAUAGCUAGGGUGCGGAAGAGGGAAGCGGAAUUUCCGGUGUAGCGGUGAAAUGCGUAGAUAUCGGAAGGAACAUCAGUGGCGAAAGCGGCUUCCUGGUCCAGCACCGACGUUCAGGCACGAAAGCGUGGGGAGCAAACAGG